AGUGAACGCUGGCGGUAGGCCUAACACAUGCAAGUCGAACGGCAGCACAGUAAGAGCUUGCUCUUACGGGUGACGAGUGGCGGACGGGUGAGGAAUACAUCGGAAUCUACUUUUUCGUGGGGGAUAACGUAGGGAAACUUACGCUAAUACCGCAUACGACCUACGGGUGAAAGCAGGGGAUCUUCGGACCUUUCGCGAUUGAAUGAGCCGAUGUCGGAUUAGCUAGUUGGCGGGGUAAAGGCCCACCAAGGCGACGAUCCGUAGCUGGUCUGAGAGGAUGAUCAGCCACACUGGAACUGAGACACGGUCCAGACUCCUACGAGAGGCAGCAGUGGGGAAUAUUGGACAAUGGGCGCAAGCCUGAUCCAGCCAUACCGCGUGGGUGAAGAAGGCCUUCGGGUUGUAAAGCCCUUUUGUUGGGAAAGAAAAGCAGCAGGUUAAUACCCCGCUGUUCUGACGGUACCCAAAGAAUAAGCACCGGCUAACCUCGUG
This 492-nucleotide ribosomal RNA is filed under the name uncultured bacterium. RNAcentral's name for it is "partial 16S ribosomal RNA". It matches the Rfam family "Bacterial small subunit ribosomal RNA", at positions 29 to 507 of the family's 1533-position model. The record is from RNAcentral.